RNAcentral lists this ribosomal RNA (252 nucleotides) under uncultured bacterium. Its description in RNAcentral is "partial 16S ribosomal RNA". It matches the Rfam family "Bacterial small subunit ribosomal RNA", at positions 524 to 776 of the family's 1533-position model. The record is from RNAcentral.
UACGUAGGGGGCGAGCGUUGUCCGGAAUUAUUGGGCGUAAAGGGCGCGUAGGCGGAGAUAUGUGUCAUGUGUGAAAACCACAGGCUCAACCUGUGAUUGCACAUGAAACUAUAUCCCUUGAGUGCAGGAGAGGAAAGCGGAAUUCCCAGUGUAGCGGUGAAAUGCGUAGAUAUUGGGAGGAACACCAGUGGCGAAGGCGGCUUUCUGGACUGUAACUGACGCUGAGGCGCGAGAGCGUGGGGAGCAAACAGG